Fundulus heteroclitus (mummichog) is the source of this 768-nucleotide long non-coding RNA. RefSeq lists it as uncharacterized. The record is from RefSeq and is a predicted model, not a curated record. NCBI's taxonomy places the organism in Eukaryota, Metazoa, Chordata, Actinopteri, Cyprinodontiformes, Fundulidae. The transcript is spliced from 3 exons.
ACACAACCAGACGUGUGAGUGAUUUAGAACAAAAAACGGUCUGACUGGUAUAAAAUAUUCUAGUCAUCUGGUGCGGUUGCUUUCUAAGUUUCAGCUCAUGCUGCAAGGCAGAAAAACACGUUAUACAACCAAGUGGUGAAAUACUUCUAAAGUAGUUCAAUAUAGUUUACAACAAAUGAUAAUGAAAGUAAUCCAAGAGCCUAACAGGGAAUGUUAGGGGCGUGGACAACCAGCAGGGCCCCUUACUGGAUGAGAGGCGUGGCCAGAGCUAGGAUAUCUUAAAUAGGGGACUUUGAAGCUCUUGGGCUCAUUGACGCACCUCACAAGGAUUCCUGGGAGCAUUUGAGCUCAAAUUCACUUGUGCUGUGGUCAAGACUUCAGAUUAAGUUGCUGCUGCAAGGUGUCUUCUGUCAUCGCUCUUGUCAGACUGCGGUUUAACAACAGUAUCUCCCCUGAGGCGACUCUGUGCCAACCCACCAGCUGGUCGACACCUGUUGCACAAACGAACUGCUACCUAAGUUAGAAAUAUACCACAAAGAUGGGAAAUACUAUAGCAGAAGACCGGGACGACAUGAGAUGUCACGACUGUCAUAGAAAAUUGUCUGCAUGUCAUAAUGAUAAUGAUAUAAAAAAAAAAUGCGUAAAUGGGCAAGACGUCUUUGAGUUCAAGGGAGGGGAAUACUACAGACCACAGGGUAGAGAUUAUACAUAUAGCUGCAGAGAAUGCUUUUAUAAGCCAUACUUGGAAGCAAAACUGAGAGGAAAUAA